GACGGGGGGGGCAAGCGUUGUUCGGAAUUACUGGGCGUAAAGGGCUCGUAGGCGGCCAACUAAGUCAGACGUGAAAUCCCUCGGCUUAACCGGGGAACUGCGUCUGAUACUGGAUGGCUUGAGUUUGGGAGAGGGAUGCGGAAUUCCAGGUGUAGCGGUGAAAUGCGUAGAUAUCUGGAGGAACACCGGUGGCGAAGGCGGCAUCCUGGACCGGUAUUGACACUGAGGCGCGAAAGCCAGGGGAGCAAACGGG
RNAcentral lists this ribosomal RNA (253 nucleotides) under uncultured bacterium. Its description in RNAcentral is "partial 16S ribosomal RNA". It matches the Rfam family "Bacterial small subunit ribosomal RNA", at positions 524 to 776 of the family's 1533-position model. The record is from RNAcentral.